AUAAAUACAAUGAUAAAAGAAGUAGUAGAUCGGUUUAUACAGAGAGUUCAAAUUAGCUGAGAUUGAACGUUACGAUUGAAUUCGCUUUUUGAUGUUAGCAUUGAAUAUUAAAAAUGUUCGGUUGAUGUCGUUAUUCAUCAUCUAUAAGUGCACACUUUAGUGUGAAUUUGGGUGGUAACGCGAUGCUUCGUCCCUUUG
This 198-nucleotide non-coding RNA is filed under the name Fructilactobacillus fructivorans. RNAcentral's name for it is "Lactobacillus fructivorans T-box sequence". It matches the Rfam family "T-box leader". Rfam says of the family: Uncharged tRNA acts as the effector for transcription antitermination of genes in the T-box leader family. Lineage: Bacteria; Bacillati; Bacillota; Bacilli; Lactobacillales; Lactobacillaceae. The record is from RNAcentral.